CUUCAUAGGUGGCUGCCACACUCAACAAUUUGGCUGUGCUCUAUGGCAAAAGGGGCAAGUACAAGGAGGCAGAGCCUCUGUGCCAGCGGGCACUGGAGAUUCGAGAAAAGGUACCCAUGCCCUCUCUCCCUUCUUCUCUUGUCGCUGUGACCCUUCUCUACAUGGCUCCUCUGGUCUAACCCUCCUCCUUCACUUUUUUUUUUCUCACCCCCAUCUCUGCUUUGUUCUCUCUUCCUUCAUUCCCUUUCCUCUGCUUUCCACAUGUGUGUGCCUACAUGCAAACACACGUGUGCUUGUGCACACACAUGUUCUCAUAGCCAUUUAUCCACUCCUUUGUUCCCUUUCAGGUCCUGGGCACGAAUCAUCCAGAUGUGGCAAAACAGCUGAACAACCUGGCCCUCUUGUGCCAAAACCAGGGCAAGUAUGAGGCCGUGGAACGCUACUACCAGCGAGCACUGGCCAUCUACGAGGGGCAGCUGGGGCCGGACAACCCUAAUGUAGCCCGGACCAAGAACAACCUGGCUUCCUGUUACCUGAAACAGGGCAAAUAUGCUGAGGCUGAGACACUAUACAAAGAGAUCCUGACCCGUGCCCAUGUACAGGAGUUUGGGUCUGUGGAUGAUGACCACAAGCCCAUCUGGAUGCAUGCAGAGGAGCGGGAGGAAAUGAGCAAAAGCCGGCACCAUGAGGGUGGGACACCCUAUGCUGAGUAUGGAGGCUGGUACAAGGCCUGCAAAGUGAGCAGCCCCACAGUGAACACUACUCUGAGAAACCUGGGAGCUCUGUAUAGGCGCCAGGGAAAGCUGGAGGCCGCUGAGACCCUGGAGGAAUGUGCCCUGCGG
RNAcentral lists this small RNA (842 nucleotides) under Pan troglodytes (chimpanzee). RNAcentral's name for it is "retained intron". The record is from RNAcentral. Lineage: Eukaryota; Metazoa; Chordata; Mammalia; Primates; Hominidae.